Molecule: ribosomal RNA, 459 nt
Filed under: uncultured bacterium
Lineage: Bacteria
Description: bacterial SSU rRNA
Rfam family: Bacterial small subunit ribosomal RNA
Source: RNAcentral
GAUGAACGCUGGCGGCGUGCCUAACACAUGCAAGUCGAACGAACCUGACUCUUCGGAUGAAUGGUUAGUGGCGCACGGGUGAGUAAUACGUAGGUGACCUGCCCCAGAGUGGGGGAUAACUUCUCGAAAGGGAAGCUAAUACCGCAUAAGCUUGGUCGUUCAUUUGAUCAAGUAAAGCUCCGGCGCUCUGGGAGGGGCCUGCGUCCGAUUAGCUAGUUGGUGGGGUAACGGCCUACCAAGGCGAUAAUCGGUAGCUGGUCUGAGAGGACGAUCAGCCACACUGGCACUGACACACGGGCCAGACUCCUACGGGAGGCAGCAGUGAGGAAUAUUGCGCAAUGGGCGAAAGCCUGACGCAGCAACGCCGCGUGGAGGAUGAAUGCCUUCGGGUUGUAAACUCCUUUUCUGGGGGAAGAGACAAGGACGGUACCCCAGGAAUAAGUCUCGGCUAACUACGUG